This 497-nucleotide ribosomal RNA is filed under the name uncultured bacterium. Its description in RNAcentral is "partial 16S ribosomal RNA". It matches the Rfam family "Bacterial small subunit ribosomal RNA", at positions 28 to 507 of the family's 1533-position model. The record is from RNAcentral.
GAUGAACGCUGGCGGCGUGCCUAAUACAUGCAAGUCGAGCGAACAGACGAGGAGCUUGCUCCUCUUACGUUAGCGGCGGACGGGGGAGUAACACGUGGAUAACCUACCUAUAAGACUGGGAUAACUUCGGGAAACCGGAGCUAAUACCGGAUAAUAUAUUGAACCGCAUGGUUCAAUAGUGAAAGACGGUUUUGCUGUCACUUAUAGAUGGAUCCGCGCCGCAUUAGCUAGUUGGUAAGGUAACGGCUUACCAAGGCGACGAUGCGUAGCCGACCUGAGAGGGUGAUCCGCCACACUGGAACUGAGACACGGUCCAGACUCCUACGGGAGGCAGCAGUAGGGAAUCUUGCGCAAUGGGCGAAAGCCUGACGGAGCAACGCCGCGUGAGUGAUGAAGGUCUUCGGAUCGUAAAACUCUGUUAUUAGGGAAGAAAACAUGUGUAAGUAACUAUGCACGUCUUGACGGUACCUAAUCAGAAAGCAACGGCUAACUACGUG